AAGUCGUAACAAGGUUUCCGUAGGUGAACCUGCGGAAGGAUCAUUAAAACGUUUCCAAACCCAACACCCAAGCAUCCAUCCCUGGAUGUUUUGGAUGUUAUACCCCUUUCACAAAAAGCGAACUUGUUUGAGUGAUCGUUGGAACUUUUGCGGGCCUUGGUUGGCUUUGCUUUUUUUCUCGAUCGCUUUUUCCCCUUUUUUUUUUAAAACCCAAUGAAACUUUUUGACUGAAAAACUUUUUUUUUGCUUCAUGCAAAAAAAAUAAAUACAAAACAAUGAGAAAAACAACUCUUAACAACGGAUAUCUUGGCUCUC
This 315-nucleotide unclassified non-coding RNA is filed under the name fungal sp. RNAcentral describes it as "partial internal transcribed spacer region". The stretch from base 1 to 46 matches the Rfam family "Eukaryotic small subunit ribosomal RNA", at positions 1786 to 1831 of the family's 1831-position model. Lineage: Eukaryota; Fungi. The record is from RNAcentral.